This is a long non-coding RNA of Saccostrea cuccullata (small rock oyster), 874 nucleotides long. RefSeq lists it as uncharacterized. Lineage: Eukaryota; Metazoa; Mollusca; Bivalvia; Ostreida; Ostreidae. The record is from RefSeq and is a predicted model, not a curated record. The transcript has 3 exons.
UAAUUAGGGCCCCGCAAGGAUUUGCGGGUGCCCUAUAGUAAUCACUCUGUCCGUCCGUCUGUCCGUCUGUCACUCUUCCGUCCACAAAUUUUCUGUUUUUUUCUAAUAACUUUUUUUUAUGGUUGCCCAAUCAAGUUCAAAUUUGGUAUGGUAGUUCAGUAGGCAGAAAUACAUAUUUUGAUGCUAAUUUGAUUCUCUAUGUCCUCUGGUUUGGAGCUAGGGUGGUGGGGUAGAUUCCUUAACUAUGCAUAAGAAUGAAUGGACAACUUUUUUUUAUGGUUGCCCAAUCAAGUACAAAUUUGGUAUGGUAGUUCAGUAGGCAGAAAUACAUAUUUUGAUGCUAAGUUUGGUUUUCUAUGUCCCCUGGUUUGGAGCUUGGGUAGAGGGGUAGAUUCCUUAACUUUAUAUAAGAAAGCAUUGGCAAAGAGAGAUAACUGCUGAAGAUGUUCCCAUUGUAAACUGAAUGCUGCUAUGAGUCUCUUGGGAUUAAUUAGCUUUCUUCCUGAAGAAAAUCCAGAGCAUUAUCUUUAUCUGUCAAAUUGAGAUGAAUUACCACCUCUGUCUGCAAAUGAAGUUUGUUUUGUAGUUAAGUCAAUUUGGAAUGCUAUGAAAACUCUGAAAUGUGGAUUUAAAUAUACAUUUUUAUAAUUUAUUUUUGUUAAAUAGUUAUGAUUUCAUUGAAUUCUAAUAACAAGAAAUAGAUUUAAGAAGAUUUUUUUUAUUUACUUUUUUCACUUUAUGUUAAUUCAAGAAUAUUAUUAAUUUUUAGGAUAGUUGUAUAAAAACCCCAUUCUAUCAUUAAUACUGAAACCAGAACUAAAAAUGAUGAGAGAGGUACAAUUAAUCCCAAGGGAUUAAUUAUCUAGCCUGCUGC